RNAcentral lists this ribosomal RNA (219 nucleotides) under Phocaeicola plebeius. RNAcentral's name for it is "partial 16S ribosomal RNA". It matches the Rfam family "Bacterial small subunit ribosomal RNA", at positions 103 to 322 of the family's 1533-position model. The record is from RNAcentral. Lineage: Bacteria; Pseudomonadati; Bacteroidota; Bacteroidia; Bacteroidales; Bacteroidaceae.
CGGGUGAGUAACGCGUAUCCAACCUUCCGUACACUCAGGGAUAGCCUUUCGAAAGAAAGAUUAAUACCUGAUGGUAUCUUAAGCACACAUGUAAUUAAGAUUAAAGAUUCAUCGGUGUACGAUGGGGAUGCGUUCCAUUAGGUAGUAGGCGGGGUAACGGCCCACCUAGCCGACGAUGGAUAGGGGUUCUGAGAGGAAGGUCCCCCACAUUGGAACUGA